GACGAACGCUGGCGGCGUGCUUAACACAUGCAAGUCGAACGGUGAAGCGCCUUCCUUUUUGGUGGUUGUGGUUGAGUGGCGAACAGGUGCGUAAAACGUGAGUAACCUGCCCCCUUCUUCUGGAUAACCACAUGACAGUGUGGCUCAUACGGGAUAUUCUGGGUCUGUCGCAUGAUGGGUCUGGGAAAGAUAUUGUUUCGGUGGGGGAUGGGCUCGCGGCCUAUCAGCUUGUUGGUGGGGUGAUGGCCUACCAAGGGGGUGACGGGUAGCCGGCCUGAGAGGGGGGACGGGGACUGAGGGAGUGGGACACGACCAAGAGUCCGAGAGGAGGCAGCAGCGGGUAAGAGUGGACAAUGGGCGGAAGAUUGAAGCAGCGACGCCGCGUGGGGGAUGGAGGCCUGUGUGUUGUGAGCCGCUUUCGCGAGUGAAACAUGCCUGCCGCGUCUGAGGGGGGAUUGACGGUAGCUGGAUAAGAAGCGCCGGCUAACUACGUG
This 494-nucleotide ribosomal RNA is filed under the name uncultured bacterium. RNAcentral's name for it is "partial 16S ribosomal RNA". It matches the Rfam family "Bacterial small subunit ribosomal RNA", at positions 28 to 507 of the family's 1533-position model. The record is from RNAcentral.